UGGGGAAUUUUGCACAAUGGGCGCAAGCCUGAUGCAGCGACGCCGCGUGAGGGAUGAAGGCCUUCGGGUUGUAAACCUUUUUCGCUCAUGGUCAAGCCGCAGCUUUGGGUUGUGGUGAGGGUAGUGGGUAAAGAAGCGCCGGCUAACUACGUGCCAGCAGCCGCGGUAAUACGUAGGGCGCGAGCGUUGUCCGGAAUUAUUGGGCGUAAAGGGCUUGUAGGCGGUUGGCCGCGUCUGCCGUGAAAUCCUCUGGCUUAACUGGGGGCGUGCGGUGUGUACGGGUUGACUUGAGUGCGGUAGGGGAGACUGGAAUUCCUGGUGUAGCGGUGGAAUGCGCAGAUAUCAGGAGGAACACCGGUGGCGAAGGCGGGUCUCUGGGCCGUUACUGACGCUGAGGAGCGAAAGCGUGGGGAGCGAACAGG
Molecule: ribosomal RNA, 422 nt
Filed under: bacterium
Lineage: Bacteria
Description: partial 16S ribosomal RNA
Rfam family: Bacterial small subunit ribosomal RNA
Source: RNAcentral